Long non-coding RNA from Lemur catta (Ring-tailed lemur), 513 nucleotides. RefSeq lists it as uncharacterized. The record is from RefSeq and is a predicted model, not a curated record. Lineage: Eukaryota; Metazoa; Chordata; Mammalia; Primates; Lemuridae. The transcript has 3 exons.
GGUUAGGUUUCUGAGGCUGGGAAUGAGUGAACAGGGAAGGGCAGGAAGAGACAGGAAAUGCCCACAUGUUUUCAAGACAGUUAAUGUCUGGAGAGGAAUCUGAAUUAAUCUUAUAAUUAGAGGAUUAAUUAAGAGUAUCUUUUGUCACAUCCAAGUAGUCCUAAUGAAGUUUGUUGGUUUUUACAUUUGUCAGACUCAAUAAGCUAGAGAAGUUUCAGAAUUUUGUUCUUCAAGGGUUGAGCAAUCUUGAGAAGGAUAUUCAGCCCCUGGAACACCUUGAAAAGGACGCUCUGGAGUUCGAGGGGAAACAGUCUGCUGAUCUGAAAUUGUUCUGUGAUCUGCAAGUGCUGAGGUGUUCCUCUGCACCCUGACCGUCUGUCCUCUGAGGACCCAUUUCGUCUUCAGGCGGUAGGUGAACUCUGGCUUCUGCACCUGCACAGCCGCGCAGACCGUGUGAGCCACCCUCCCUCUGUGCAUCCCUCCAGCCCCUGGCUGCUUCCCAUGACAAGGAGA